UGUUCUUCUGAUGCUUCUUCCAGCAACAAACCUUCUUAUAUCCUGUGAUUGCCACAUUUGCUAUUAAAGAUGCAACAUGUUUUCUCCAUGAAGACAGAAGACAUCCCUGCAGCUCCAGUCUUGAUUUACUGGUUGUAGAGGUCCCUACUAGGUGCUGAUCCACCAUCUGGUCCGGAUACGUACUGGAUCCAGGUGAUUGCAGUGACCAUCUGACCUGGAUACAGACUGGAUCUGGUGGUUACAGUGACUUUACGGCAAUUUAAACUGACAGAGUGUGUCUGCCAUCCAAACAAUGUUAGCCUGUAUACUGCACAUGUGUCAGUGAUGCCUAACGCAUUAGUUCUCAUGUGCAACUCGUCGUCUUCAGCCUGCUUUUGUGU
This is a long non-coding RNA of Cyprinus carpio carpio, 380 nucleotides long. The record is from Ensembl. NCBI's taxonomy places the organism in Eukaryota, Metazoa, Chordata, Actinopteri, Cypriniformes, Cyprinidae.